Molecule: long non-coding RNA, 264 nt
Organism: Populus euphratica (Euphrates poplar)
Lineage: Eukaryota; Viridiplantae; Streptophyta; Magnoliopsida; Malpighiales; Salicaceae
Exons: 2
Source: RefSeq, a predicted model, not a curated record
UAAAAAACUUCAUGCAAAAAAUAUAAAUGAAAAAUCUUCAUUGUACACAUCAUCUCAAUCGAAAUGCACAUCAAGUUGACAAAAACAUUGCACUUUGAUUCCUUAAUACAAUUGACAUCAAAACCAUCAAACUAACUUUUGAACUAAUUAUCAUCCAUUGUUAGAUGUAACUUUCCACCAAAUUCUACAAAAUAAAAAGUUAGACAUGUUAGAUGAUUGCAAAUGCUUUAAUUAAUAAAUCACAAAAUAAAAUAUGCAAGUUUA